UCUCAUCUUUAAAUUUGAAGUUGUUGUUUCUGUUGUUGUUUUCCUGUUUCUUUAAAUUCUGUCUAGGAAAGCAACCCUGCACUUUUUUUUUUUUUUUUGGUUUAAUUGUGUUCAUUUUAUUUUGGCACACCUAGUCCUUGACGGUAAAGAACUUUCUCAUUUAGAAUAAAGGAACAAAAAAAGACUACAAAAUUACAGAGCUAGGAGAGUGGAUAAUUUUGAAGGUGAGAGUUAAAAGAGUGACUUAUAUGUUUUGGCCAUGUAUGGCCUGAGAAUAUAUACUAAUGCCCUUGAGAAGACCUUGGUGGCAGGGAGUGAAGGUAACUGAGGAGGAACUGGGGAUGGGGGAAGGGAGCAGUACCUACUCACAGUUGGAAUUAACCUGGGUAAGGUAUAAAUGUUUAACUUGAGGCUAGUGGGGCUAUAGGAAAAAGGAGAAGCCCUCUAGCAUGAGUCAUGGAAAGUCACAUUUACCCAGUGCAGACAAUUUUGUGUGGACUGGGAUGGAGUUUGGACAGGAUGUCCAAACAAGGUUUCUGCCCUUGUGACUCACGUCUGUGAUUCACUUUUGGUCCCUUACUACCACUACUUGGCUUUGGCUAGCUUUGACAGUGACUCGGAUCAUGUGGAAUGUAGCACGUGUUUCCCAAUUUCUAGAAAGCUUUCAAAAAUACAAUCAGCAGUUAUUUCUUCUUCAGAGUCAGUCGCUGAGAUUCUGAGGAUACUUCCUUCCAUCUUUCACCUCAUUUCCUUCAGUCUCAGGGGUCAGAUGUCUUUUUAAGGCAAAUCUCUCUUGUCUCCUCUGUUCUUAACCUCUCGAUCUACUAGCAACUCCAUAGCCUAUAAACUGGAUAAAGUAUUUUUUUUUUAAAUCAUGCUUUUUACCACCAUCAAAGACCUCCUCGUUAUCAAGUGCAGUGGACCCUUUCACUCUCACCUCCUGUUUGACUUCUCUGUGAUACUGGACACUGCCUUUUCUUCUUUUCUUCCUGGAACAUUUUUCCCUUUUGGCUUCUCCAUGCCAUCACCACCCUCUUUGGAGAUUUCCUUUUUGUUUUUGGGAGACUGUGCACCAUCAUGAUUAAUAGCCUGCAGUUCUAUGGCCUGUCUUCAGGUACUGACUCUGCUACUUGCUUGAUGGUCCCUUGGAUGAUUCUCCAAACCUUUCUAAGGCAAUGUGUAUCUUCACCUAUAAAAUGAGAUGAUCCAUGUGAAGCUCUGAACACUGUGCUUGGCUCAUUGACAUACUGAGCAAAUAUUAGGGGCCCAAUGCAGGGGCUUGAACUCAUGACCCUGAGAUCGAGACCUGAGCUGAGAUCAAGAGUUGGACGCUUAACUGACUGAGCUACCCAGGCACCCCUUAGCUGCCAUUCUGAUUGUAGGGGACCUUCCCUUCUCUGCUUGUUCUCCUUGCCACCCCACUAACAUUGCCUUUUGUGAUAGCCUCCUCACACAGCUCCACUGACCACUUAUGUACUCUGGUAACUGACAAAGCCUGCUUCUCUUCCAGUAUACCUACUGGGGAGAAACGUAAGACCAGUCAUCCUA
This is a long non-coding RNA of Mirounga angustirostris (Northern elephant seal), 1548 nucleotides long. RefSeq lists it as uncharacterized. NCBI's taxonomy places the organism in Eukaryota, Metazoa, Chordata, Mammalia, Carnivora, Phocidae. The record is from RefSeq and is a predicted model, not a curated record. The transcript is spliced from 2 exons.